AGAUGAGUCUGCGUCUGAUUAGCUAGAUGGUGGGGUAACGGCUUACCAUGGCGACGAUCAGUAGUCGGCCUGAGAGGGUGACCGGCCACAUUGGGACUGAGACACGGCCCAAACUCCUACGGGAGGCAGCAGUGGGGAAUCUUCCGCAAUGGGCGAAAGCCUGACGGAGCAACGCCGCGUGAUCGAAGAAGGCCUUCGGGUUGUAAAGAUCUGUUGACAGGGACGAAUAAGCAAUGCGAAUAGUUUUGUGUAUGACGGUACCUGUUUAGAAAGCUCCGGCUAACUACGUGCCAGCAGCCGCGGUAAUACGUAGGGAGCAAGCGUUGUCCGGAAUUACUGGGCGUAAAGGGCGCGUAGGUGGGCGCUUAAGUCAGGUGUGAAAACUCCGGGCUCAACCUGGAGACUGCACUUGAAACUGGGUGUCUUGAGGGCAGGAGAGGAAAGUGGAAUUCCUAGUGUAGCGGUGAAAUGCGUAGAUAUUAGGAGGAACACCAGUGGCGAAGGCGACUUUCUGGACUGUACCUGACGCUGAGGCGCGAAAGCGUGGGUAGCGAACGGGAUUAGAUACCCCGGUAGUCCACGCCGUAAACGAUGAAUACUAGGUGUAGGAGGUAUCGACUCCUUCU
RNAcentral lists this ribosomal RNA (626 nucleotides) under uncultured bacterium. RNAcentral's name for it is "bacterial SSU rRNA". It matches the Rfam family "Bacterial small subunit ribosomal RNA", at positions 223 to 842 of the family's 1533-position model. The record is from RNAcentral.